This 427-nucleotide ribosomal RNA is filed under the name uncultured bacterium. RNAcentral's name for it is "bacterial SSU rRNA". It matches the Rfam family "Bacterial small subunit ribosomal RNA", at positions 97 to 520 of the family's 1533-position model. The record is from RNAcentral.
GGCGAACGGGUGAGUAAUGAAUCGGAACGUGCCCGGUAGUGGGGGAUAACCAGUCGAAAGACUGGCUAAUACCGCAUACGACCUACGGGUGAAAGCGGGGGAUCGCAAGGCCUCGCGCUAUCGGAGCGGCCGAUUUCCGAUUAGCUAGUUGGUGGGGUAAAGGCUCACCAAGGCGAUGAUCGGUAGCUGGUCUGAGAGGACGGCCAGCCACACUGGGACUGAGACACGGCCCAGACUCCUACGGGAGGCAGCAGUGGGGAAUUUUGGACAAUGGGCGAAAGCCUGAUCCAGCCAUGCCGCGUGCGGGAAGAAGGCCUUCGGGUUGUAAACCGCUUUUGGCAGGAACGAAACGGCGCGGGCUAAUACCUCGCGUUAAUGACGGUACCUGCAGAAUAAGCACCGGCUAACUACGUGCCAGCCGCCGCGG